This 515-nucleotide ribosomal RNA is filed under the name uncultured bacterium. Its description in RNAcentral is "partial 16S ribosomal RNA". It matches the Rfam family "Bacterial small subunit ribosomal RNA", at positions 28 to 523 of the family's 1533-position model. The record is from RNAcentral.
GAUGAACGCUGGCGGCGUGCCUAAUACAUGCAAGUCGAGCGAAUGGAUUAAGAGCUUGCUCUUAUGAAGUUAGCGGCGGACGGGUGAGUAACACGUGGGUAACCUGCCCAGAAGACUGGGAUAACGCCGGGAAACCGGGGCUAAUACCGGAUAACAUUUUGAACCGCAAGGUUCGAAAUUGAAAGGCGUCUUCGGCUGUCACUUAUGACUGGACACGCGUCGCAUUAGCUAGUUGGUGAGGUAACAGCUCACCAAGGCAACGAUGCGUAGCCGACCUGCGAGGGUGAUCGGCCACACUGGGACUGAGGCACGGCCCAGACUCCUACGGGAGGCAGCAGUAGGGAAUCUUCCGCAAUGGACGAAAGUCUGACGGAGCAACGCCGCGUGCGUGAUGAAGGCUUUCGGGUCGUAAAACUCUGUUGUUAGGGAAGAACAAGUGCUAGUUGAAUAAGCUGACACCUUGACGGUACCUAGCCAGAAAGCCACGGCUAACUACGUGCCAGCAGCCGCCGUAA